AGAGUUUGAUCAUGGCUCAGAACGUACGCUGGCGGCACGCCUAACACAUGCAAGUCGAACGAAGUAGCAAUACUUAGUGGCAGACGGGUGAGUAACAUGUGGGUAUCUGCCCUUUGGCCUGGAAUAACACGAGGAAACUUGUGCUAAUACCGGAUAAGUCUUUACAGAGAAAGCUUUAUGCACCAUUGGAUGAGCCCGCACUUGAUUAGUUUGUUGGUGGGGUAAUGGCCUACCAAGACUUUGAUCAAUAGCUGAUUUGAGAGGAUGAUCAGCCACAUUGGGACUGAGACACGGCCCAAACUCCUACGGGAGGCAGCAGUGGGGAAUCUUGCACAAUGGAGGAAACUCUGAUGCAGCGAUGCCGCGUGAGUGAAGAAGGCCCUUGGGUUGUAAAGCUCUUUCGUCGGGGAAGAAAAUGACUGUACCCGAAUAAGAAGGUCCGGCUAACUUCGUGCCAGCAGCCGCGGUAAUACGAAGGGACCUAGCGUAGUUCGGAAUUACUGGGCUUAAAGAGUUCGUAGGUGGUUGAAAAAGUUGGUGGUGAAAUCCCAGAGCUUAACUCUGGAACUGCCAUCAAAACUUUUCAGCUAGAGUUUGAUAGAGGAAAGCAGAAUUUCUAGUGUAGAGGUGAAAUUCGUAGAUAUUAGAAAGAAUACCAAUUGCGAAGGCAGCUUUCUGGAUCAUUACUGACGCUGAGGAACGAAAGCAUGGGUAGCGAAGAGGAUUAGAUACCCUCGUAGUCCAUGCCGUAAACGAUGUGUGUUAGACGUUGGAAAUUUAUUUUCAGUGUCGCAGCGAAAGCGAUAAACACACCGCCUGGGGAGUACGACCGCAAGGUUAAAACUCAAAUGAAUUGACGGGGACCCGCACAAGUAGUGGAGCAUGUGGUUUAAUUCGAAGAUACGCGCAGAACCUUACCAACACUUGACAUGUUCGUCGCGACUUUAAGAGAUUAAAGUUUUCGGUUCGGCCGGACGAAACACAGGUGCUGCAUGGCUGUCGUCAGCUCGUGUCGUGAGAUGUUGGGUUAAGUCCCGCAACGAGCGCAACCCUCACUUUUAGUUGCCAUCAUUUAGUUGGGCACUCUGAAAGAACUGCCAGUGAUAAGCUGGAGGAAGGUGGGGAUGACGUCAAGUCCUCAUGGCCCUUACGUGUUGGGCUACACACGUGCUACAAUGGUAUUUACAAUAGGAAGCGAAACAGCGAUGUUAAGCAAAUCCUUAAAAGAUACCUCAGUUCGGAUUGCACUCUGCAACUCGAGUGCAUGAAGCUGGAAUUACUAGUAAUCGUGGAUCAGCGUGCCACGGUGAAUGCGUUCCCGGGUCUUGUAGA
This 1332-nucleotide ribosomal RNA is filed under the name uncultured bacterium. Its description in RNAcentral is "bacterial SSU rRNA". It matches the Rfam family "Bacterial small subunit ribosomal RNA". The record is from RNAcentral.